AUUGAACGCUGGCGGCAUGCCUUACACAUGCAAGUCGAACGGUAACAGGUCUUGGGUUGCUGACGAGUGGCGAAGGGGGGAGUAAUACAUCGAAACGUGCCCAGACGCGGGGGGUAACGAGGCGAAAGAUGUGCUAAUAGCUCAUACGAUAUAAGGAUGAAAGCAGGGGAGCUCAAGGGCUUGCGCGGUUGGAGCGGCCGAUGGCAGAUUAGGUAGUUGGUGGGUUAAAAGCUUACCAAGCCGACGAUUUGUAGCUGGUCUGAGAGGACGAGCAGCCACACUGGGACUGAGACACGGCCCAGACUCCUACGGGAGGCAGCAGUGGGGAAUUUUGGACAAUGGGCGAAAGCCUGAUCCAGCAAUGCCGCGUGCAGGAUGAAGGCCUUCGGGUUGUAAACUGCUUUUGUACGGAAAGAAAAGGCGCUGGCUAAUACCUGGGGCACAUGACGGUACCGUAAGAAUAAGCACCGGCUAACUACGUG
RNAcentral lists this ribosomal RNA (482 nucleotides) under uncultured bacterium. RNAcentral's name for it is "partial 16S ribosomal RNA". It matches the Rfam family "Bacterial small subunit ribosomal RNA", at positions 29 to 507 of the family's 1533-position model. The record is from RNAcentral.